AUGGUGUUCAAUGACUUGGAGAAGGCCUAUGAUAAGAUACCGUGGAAUGUCAUGUGGUGGGCCUUGGAGAAACACAAAGUCCCAGCAAAGUACAUUACCCUCAUCAAGGACAUGUACGAUAAUGUUGUGACAAGUGUUCGAACAAGUGAUGUCGACACUGAUGACUUCCCGAUUAAGAUAGGACUGCAUCAGGGGUCAGCUUUGAGCCCUUAUCUUUUUGCCUUGGUGAUGGAUGAGGUCACAAGGGAUAUACAGGGAGAUAUCCCAUGGUGUAUGCUCUUUGCGGAUGAUGUGGUUCUAGUUGACGAUAGUCAGACGGGGGUAAAUAGAAGUUAG
This 336-nucleotide ribosomal RNA is filed under the name Triticum aestivum (bread wheat). Its description in RNAcentral is "partial small subunit ribosomal RNA". Lineage: Eukaryota; Viridiplantae; Streptophyta; Magnoliopsida; Poales; Poaceae. The record is from RNAcentral.